UCACGCCUGUGGCUUCGUGCACUGAGUCACGGAUCGACACUUCAAUCUCCGGUAGGUACAUAUCCCAGUCUCGAUGAUCCUUCUCUAAAUACGUCCUGAUUGCAGCUAAUAUUGUCCGGUUCACCCUCUCGGCGGCAUUGCUCUGUGGUGAGUAGACUGCUGUGCGCAGAUGUCGGGCGCCGAAGGUGCUCAUCAUGUCCUGGAAGAUCUUCGACAGGAACUGCUUUCCGUUGUCGGAGUGGAUCACCUCGGGCACCCCAAACUUGUAGAACACUUCCUGUACUAGGAAUUGAACUACGUUCGCAGCGGUCGCCUCUCUCAUCGCUCUGAGAAAGGUGAAUUUAGAGAAGUGAUCUACGACGACAAAAAUCCAAGCUUGUCCCCUUUUCGACCGAGGAUACUUUCCCAGGAAAUCGAUGUAUAAUUUCUGGAAUGGCCUCUCCGUUACGACUUCCUGACCGAUCCCUACCUGGCUUCGAUAAUUGGGUGCUUUGGACUCCUUACAAGCAUCGCAGUUCCGGACAAACUCCCGCACUUGUGUCGUCAUCGCUGGCCAGUAGAAUUGCCUUCUUAGCCGAUGCAAGGUCUUUUUAAGUCCACCGUGUCCAGCUGUGUGGUCUUCGUGGGCCUUGGAGAUAAGAGUUUCCGUCAGAGACGCGGGAAUCCAUAAUUUCCAAAUGGUCCCUUCCACUUGGUCGUCCAUUUGCGUGUAAGCCAUCCGCUUGAAUAUCACAUCCCCUUCCACUCGUAGGUCAGGCAACAUGUCUUGAUUCUUGCCGAUUUCUUCUUUCAGCUCCUGAUAUUCUGAAGACUCAAACUCUGUCGUCUGGAAUCCGAGGAUCUCCGUU
This 848-nucleotide long non-coding RNA is filed under the name Drosophila guanche. Lineage: Eukaryota; Metazoa; Arthropoda; Insecta; Diptera; Drosophilidae. The record is from RNAcentral.